RNAcentral lists this ribosomal RNA (253 nucleotides) under uncultured bacterium. RNAcentral describes it as "partial 16S ribosomal RNA". It matches the Rfam family "Bacterial small subunit ribosomal RNA", at positions 524 to 776 of the family's 1533-position model. The record is from RNAcentral.
UACAGAGGUCUCAAGCGUUGUUCGGAUUCAUUGGGCGUAAAGGGUGCGUAGGCGGCGCGGUAAGUCGGGUGUGAAAGCCCCCGGCUCAACCAGGGAAUUGCGCCCUAAACCGGCGGGCUGGAGUGAGAUAGGGGUGUGUGGAACUUCCAGUGGAGCGGUGAAAUGUGUUGAUAUUGGAAGGAACGCCGGUGGCGAAAGCGACACACUGGGUCUCAACUGACGCUGAGGCACGAAAGCCAGGGGAGCAAACGGG